This 872-nucleotide ribosomal RNA is filed under the name Lactiplantibacillus plantarum. RNAcentral's name for it is "bacterial SSU rRNA". It matches the Rfam family "Bacterial small subunit ribosomal RNA", at positions 379 to 1247 of the family's 1533-position model. The record is from RNAcentral. Lineage: Bacteria; Bacillati; Bacillota; Bacilli; Lactobacillales; Lactobacillaceae.
UAGUCUGAUGGAGCACGCCGCGUGAGUGAAGAAGGGUUUCGGCUCGUAAAACUCUGUUGUUAAAGAAGAACAUAUCUGAGAGUAACUGUUCAGGUAUUGACGGUAUUUAACCAGAAAGCCACGGCUAACUACGUGCCAGCAGCCGCGGUAAUACGUAGGUGGCAAGCGUUGUCCGGAUUUAUUGGGCGUAAAGCGAGCGCAGGCGGUUUUUUAAGUCUGAUGUGAAAGCCUUCGGCUCAACCGAAGAAGUGCAUCGGAAACUGGGAAACUUGAGUGCAGAAGAGGACAGUGGAACUCCAUGUGUAGCGGUGAAAUGCGUAGAUAUAUGGAAGAACACCAGUGGCGAAGGCGGCUGUCUGGUCUGUAACUGACGCUGAGGCUCGAAAGUAUGGGUAGCAAACAGGAUUAGAUACCCUGGUAGUCCAUACCGUAAACGAUGAAUGCUAAGUGUUGGAGGGUUUCCGCCCUUCAGUGCUGCAGCUAACGCAUUAAGCAUUCCGCCUGGGGAGUACGGCCGCAAGGCUGAAACUCAAAGGAAUUGACGGGGGCCCGCACAAGCGGUGGAGCAUGUGGUUUAAUUCGAAGCUACGCGAAGAACCUUACCAGGUCUUGACAUACUAUGCAAAUCUAAGAGAUUAGACGUUCCCUUCGGGGACAUGGAUACAGGUGGUGCAUGGUUGUCGUCAGCUCGUGUCGUGAGAUGUUGGGUUAAGUCCCGCAACGAGCGCAACCCUUAUUAUCAGUUGCCAGCAUUAAGUUGGGCACUCUGGUGAGACUGCCGGUGACAAACCGGAGGAAGGUGGGAUGACGUCAAAUCAUCAUGCCCCUUAUGACUGGGCUACACACGUGCUACAAUGGAUGGUACAACGAGU